Molecule: ribosomal RNA, 253 nt
Filed under: uncultured bacterium
Lineage: Bacteria
Description: partial 16S ribosomal RNA
Rfam family: Archaeal small subunit ribosomal RNA
Source: RNAcentral
UACCCGCAGCUCAAGUGGUGGUCAUUAUUAUUGGGCCUAAAGCGUCCGUAGCUGGCUUGUUAGAUGCCUGGGUAAAUCGAUGCGCUUAACGUAUCGAAUUCCGGGUAGACCGGCAAGCUCGAGACCGGGAGAGGCGUGAGCUACUCAAGGGGUAGGGGUAAAAUCCUGUAAUCCUUUGGGGAGGACCAGUGGCGAAGGCGUCACGCUAGAACGGCUCUGAUAGUGAGGGACGAAGCCCUGGGGCGCAAACCGG